UCAGGCAGAACCCCAACACCACCAUCAACAACAAUUGAUCACGGCAAUCGAACAUAAACUGGUUAUUAUGUUUACAACGGAAAUCGAACAUAAACUGGUUAAUAUGUUUAUAACAGAAGCAAAGCUUUGAUUUUUAACAUACGAUUUUCUCCUGGGAAGGAAUCAAAAAAUCACAGGUGAAGUAGGAUUAGGGUUAUGAUUGGGGUCAUUCGUGAUAAUAGGAUCGGGCGAUCUUGUGGCCUGGAAAGGCUGCUGGGGGAGAAAAAAAGAAAUACGUGAGACAUAUCCGUCGUUGGAUCGGGUGAUCCUGGGGCCAGGAUAUAUCGUGGGCGAGGGAUAUAUCGUGUCCGUCCAGGUCCUCGGGAGUAAUUCGGGGCCUUAUUUUUUAAAACACGGGAUCAUGUUCUUUAUUUUUCUCCUUUACCUCACCAGCAUAAUAUGAGGAGAAUCAAUCAGGCAGAACCCCAACACCACCAUAAACAAAAAUUGAUCACGACAAUCGAACAUAAACUGGUUAUUAUGUUUACAACGGCAAUCGAACAUAAACUGGUUAUUAUGUUUACUACAGAAGCAAAGCUUUGAUUUUUAACAGACGAUUUUCUCCUGGGAAGGAAUCAGAAAAUCACAGAAAUAUAGAUUAGGUGAGCGAUUCGUUUCUAAUAAUUUUAGAUUUGAGAAACUUCUCUCGGUUUCUGCUCUUGGUUCUCAUAGAAUUCAAGCCAUCUUGAUUUGUUCUGAUUGCUCUGUGAUUGAUUUCUCGGUUGAUGCAUGAAUUUCUCGAAAUUGUGGCCCUCAGGUUGAUCAAGCAGGGCAAGUUGAUCGAAUAAACUUUGAAAUUCUUCUUCGCAAAAUAUCAAAGAUCCUUCGACAUCAAUUAGUCCUUCUCCGGAUUUCUUUUUAAUUAGUGCUGGUGGUUGUCGGAUUAAGACAUUUUGGUUUAGACGACCUUUGGAUCAUCAAAAUUCACACGUGACAACAAUAAAUCAGCCAGGAAGAGAUUUUUCAAGAGAUUCUCUUAUGUACUAAAAUAUUUCAAAAGGCAACGACCAAAGAUAUCGGAUAUUAUUCGAAUGCUUGAAGGUGAUGGGCUUGAAGAGAGAUAGUUCUCUAUCUUUGGCCCAAUGUGGAGGAAACAUAAGCAUGUAUCUAAGGAUUUUAUAUAAGGGAGCCAUCUUUGAAGCGCAGGGGUUUAUGUAUGUCGAUACCGUAAGAACAGUGGAGAAUUAGAACCUUAAACGCGAGGCUCAAUAUCAUAACUUAACAAUUAUCUUUUAUUUUUUAAAUCGGCAUCACAACUUAACAAUACCAAUGGUCUAAUGCAGGUAAUCUUCUUAAUAAUUUACUAUCUGUUGAUAUUGAAGAGUUUUCCUGUAUUGGUUUAGCUCAUCAUCUCCGGGUGCUUGAUUUCGAGAAUGGUGCAUCGAGUGUUUCUUAUAACCUCUUAGAAGACAUUUUAGAGUUGAGAUGGCAGCAUUACUCUUUGCGUGAGCAGUGAACUUAAUAAAACGUUUUGCAUAUUGGAGGUACCGCCUAUGCUAAGGAAGAAGGCAGAUGUCAGGAAAAGGGAAAGGGAAUAGCAGCGACACCAUUACAGGUGUGAACCCUUAUACUGGAUGCAUUGAAUUCAAGUACUUCUUUUUCUAAUAAGUAAAGCUAAUCAAUGUGUCGACUAAAUCCCGAUUGAAUUUAAUUUAACUUCUUUAGGGUGGCAGCUGCUUUGUGCUAAUAACCAUUUUCAUAUUUUCUGUCGAAUUCGAGUUCCGUUACUUUAAGAUGCACAUGGGAAUAGAGACGAUCAGGUAUGUGAAAAGCUUCAAGGUCCGGUGUUGGGAUUGUUCAGUGCUGUUGUACAACCUCUAAGAUUAUCAAGAUGUAGGUGGUGAUGAGAAGGAGGAGGAUGUAAUGGCACCACUAAUUUGGAUAUGAUCUUGAUAAGGGAAGUCGUGUUUCAAGAGGAUGUCCCAGAUAAGAUAUGGACUUGGAUGGUGGAAAUAAAGAACAAGUGCUAUUUAAAACUGAGCAGGAGAAAACAUUGCUUCCGAUGAGGAAAGUUACGUUCUCGAUGGUCAGGUCCAUUCUUGGUAUGUACUGUUUUCCCCCAUGGAGUUGUUGAAAUCGAAAAUACAGCAAACAAGAACAUCUUCAAGGUCAAUGGUCAGAGACUGAAACCAUUUCUGGAACCUAUUCCACCAGAAGUUGAGACCAUAGACUUGGAAGACCCCGUCUAUGUGGACUAAACUGGUUCACCUGUGUACAUACAAAUGGAUUAAAAGUCCAUUCUAUUUUCCCUUUCUUUCUAUUUGUAUAGUUUUUAUGUGUUCUAACCAAAAUUUUUGUCUUAUCGUUCUAUAUCUUGUUGUUUGCUUUCAAAGCAUUCAUCCACUUCUGGUUUAGCACCAUCCUUUUUGCAUCUGGUAAUCUCUUUCUUUUAAAUCUA
Papaver somniferum (opium poppy) is the source of this 2437-nucleotide long non-coding RNA. RefSeq lists it as uncharacterized. The transcript has 10 exons. The record is from RefSeq and is a predicted model, not a curated record. NCBI's taxonomy places the organism in Eukaryota, Viridiplantae, Streptophyta, Magnoliopsida, Ranunculales, Papaveraceae.